UACAGAGGUGGCAAGCGUUGUUCGGAAUUACUGGGCGUAAAGGGCGCGUAGGCGGCCGCCUAAGUCAGACGUGAAAUCCCCAAGCUUAACUUGGGAACUGCGUCUGAUACUGGGUGGCUUGAGUUCGGGAGAGGAAUGUGGAAUUCCAGGUGUAGCGGUGAAAUGCGUAGAUAUCUGGAGGAACACCGGUGGCGAAGGCGACAUCCUGGACCGGUAUUGACGCUGAGGCGCGAAAGCCAGGGGAGCAAACGGG
Molecule: ribosomal RNA, 253 nt
Filed under: uncultured bacterium
Lineage: Bacteria
Description: partial 16S ribosomal RNA
Rfam family: Bacterial small subunit ribosomal RNA
Source: RNAcentral